ACUCUGUCCCCAAGCGCCCGGAGUCCCCACUAAAAGGAUUCCACAGCGCUUCCUCUAUUAUUAUACCGUAAAUCUUUUUAAAUUCUGGAACUAAUUAUAUAGAGGAUAUGUCUCAAUUUGUUCUGCAUUAAUGCCACAGCGGGGAUGGAGGCCAGGCCGAGGCGUUCAGAUAGGAAGGCCCAUGAAAUUGAUGAACUGAGGGCUGCUUCCAGUCCUGCGCGCACCAUCUGGAAUUCCAGUCUGAGGUUACAAUUAGAACUUCUGACCCCAGAUUCAACUUUGCAAACAAC
Molecule: long non-coding RNA, 290 nt
Filed under: Chinchilla lanigera (long-tailed chinchilla)
Lineage: Eukaryota; Metazoa; Chordata; Mammalia; Rodentia; Chinchillidae
Description: WT1 antisense RNA conserved region 7 (ENSCLAG00000020536.1)
Rfam family: WT1 antisense RNA conserved region 7
Source: RNAcentral